UCCUGGUGGCUGGUCCACAACAUCUCACUAGACCUGUCAAAAGCACACUUUACCUUUUGCUUAAAUUGGCAGCUCAGAUAUUUUCUAAUCAAGGACACCCUAAUACAACUAAAGUCUGUCUGUUAAGAUUUUACUUCUUUCACGUGUGCAGUAAGCGUUGAACACAAAGUCUAAUGUUCUCUGAACAUUAGUUACCUUGGAACCCGCUCUUAAGAGAGCUUGGGGUUAUAAUUUUAACGAGUGUUACUGCUUCUUCUAGAAGCCUCUCUUCAUCAACACUUGCUAGAAUCUAGGCCAAUCAGGCCCCACUUCUCCACAGAGGUAUCCUUAUCGGAUAUAUCUUCCUCCAUUCUUUAAGCUCAAACUUCACUUUGCAUUUCUCUUAAGGCAGCAACCUCUUUGAACUUGGCUGCGGCAACUUCUUACUAGACACGUCUCCAAAGGCAAGGGAAAUAAAAGCAAAAAAGAACUACUGGGACUUCAUCAAGAUAGAAAACUUUUCCACAGCAAAGGAAACAGUCAACAAAACUAAGAGGAUUCGAUUCACUGGAAGACCUGCUCAAGUCCCCCUCCUUCUGAAAGCCCUUCGGGAUUGCCUCUCUCAACUCCUCGUAGAAUCUGAGUCAAUACCUUCACAUUAGGUACUUGGUAAAACACUGCUGUGCAUUGCUCCCUUCUGCAAGAAUCUCAGUCACAGAGCAAGUACUUGGUUAUUAUUGUUAAAUAGCUACUUUAGAGAUUUUAAAAUGUGAUAAAAUACAACGGUAACAAAAGAGGCACUUCAUUUACUGACCUCUACUACCCGGAGUCUGACUUCCAAUCGGGAAGUGGUUUAAAAGCACUUGUAUUUGGCAUUUCUGAAUGCCUAGUGAAUGAAUGUCUUUGGUUGUCCAAUUAGGGUGAUUUAUACCUGCGAGUCGUUAGUAGGGCCUUUUUGAUAAUAAAGUGAUCUUGUUACCGCGGUCUGGGAACUGAGAUCAUGGAAAAUGUGGUAUGGUUUAUAACUGCGAGCCUUCUUGGCCUCACGGCAAUGUUGGCAGAGGUAUAAAUGCUUUGCUUAUGCUACUCUCUUUAUGGAGUCCAUAAAUACAUUAACUCUACUUACUCUAUGAGUUCUGGGGAAAUACCAGACAGUCUCACCCUUCUGUACAUUCAUUUAAGAAACACACUCUCAUUCAUCCCCUCUCCCUGCACACCCAGGUCACUGAAUUACAGCAAUCAAUGGCUCAGCUUCAAUGUUAAAAUAACAACAGCACCAAUGAUAAGAGUUUUAAAACUACUCAGGGAAAAAAAAAAAUGCUUCAUGCUCCUGAAAGUUAUAUGUAAUUUUUUAAGAUACAGUUUGUGUCAACUGAAGUAGAGUCAAAAGAGAAGAAAAAAUGUUUAUUAGAAUAAGUACCCCCAACUCCCACCUACCCAUCAAUCUGACUCAACAAUAAACCAUACCCAGAAGUCUAAAAAUAAUAAGAAAAAGGUCUCAGAAAUAGUAAAAAUAAUUGACACAUAGUUCAUGGUUUUUAUUGCUAGUGCAAGGCUUAGAGUUGUCCUCAAUAAACAGACCACCAAUGCAGACACGGGCCUGAAGCUGCUACACUCUUUUAGUGGAAGUUCUCCAGUUCCAUCCACAGGGACCAGUGGAGAGAAAAUUAGAUGUUGCCAUGGAUUUGAGAGGUACAGAAGGAUCGUGUAGCACUCACACGUACACAAACAUGAAACUCUUUUCAUCCCAGACACUACAGUGGAUGGUGGAAGACGGAAAUCAGCCGAACACCAGUUAAGCAUAUUGGGGAGAUUUGGAGAAAGUCAAUUUGAGGAGCACUUAUAGAAUCCUUCCCAUGCAUCGACCAUACGAGGAAGCAUUUUACCAGAUUAUUCUGCAAAUGUUCAGCACCUCCAAAAUCUCCUGCAGCUUCUGAAUUUGGAAGCUCUUCCGAGGGGAAAGGCUCCCUACACUGAGCUCUGAGCCACCGUAUGCUGGAACUACGGUUAAAUUCAAGCUUUUCGAUGACUUAGAGAGUGACUUGGGUGAAUAGAAAAGAUCUAGAAAUUUGUUUUUUAAAUGUCGACAUUCAACUUAUUCGAGUUAUGAAGCAUAAGUGCAAAAUCUUAGUUAUUCCAUAAGUAUUGAA
Nyctereutes procyonoides (raccoon dog) is the source of this 2129-nucleotide long non-coding RNA. RefSeq lists it as uncharacterized. The transcript is spliced from 3 exons. The record is from RefSeq and is a predicted model, not a curated record. Lineage: Eukaryota; Metazoa; Chordata; Mammalia; Carnivora; Canidae.